Molecule: ribosomal RNA, 484 nt
Filed under: uncultured bacterium
Lineage: Bacteria
Description: partial 16S ribosomal RNA
Rfam family: Bacterial small subunit ribosomal RNA
Source: RNAcentral
GACGAACGCUGGCGGCGUGCUUAACACAUGCAAGUCGAACGAUGAAGCCGGAGCUUGCUCUGGUGAAUUAGUGGCGAACGGGUGAGUAACACGUGAGUAACCUGCCCUUGACUCUGGGAUAACUGCGGGAAACUGUAGCUAAUACCGGAUACGACCCUCGGAGGCAUCUCCUGGGGGUGGAAAGAACUUCGGUCAAGGAUGGGCUCGCGGCCUAUCAGCUAGUUGGUGAGGUAAAGGCGAACCAAGGCGACGACGUGUAGCCGGCCUGAGAGGGUGAACGGCCACACUGGGACUGAGACACGGCCCAGACUCCUACAGGAGGCAGCAGUGGGGAGUAUUGCACAAUGGGCGCAAGCCUGAUGCAGCAACGCCGCGUGAGGGAUGACGGCCUUCGGGUUGUAAACCUCUUUUGGCAGGGAAGAAGCGAAAGUGACGGUACCUGCAGAAAAAGCACCGGCUAACUACGUGCCAGCCGCCGCCGUAA